This 237-nucleotide ribosomal RNA is filed under the name uncultured Staphylococcus sp. Its description in RNAcentral is "partial 16S ribosomal RNA". It matches the Rfam family "Bacterial small subunit ribosomal RNA", at positions 102 to 334 of the family's 1533-position model. Lineage: Bacteria; Bacillati; Bacillota; Bacilli; Caryophanales; Staphylococcaceae. The record is from RNAcentral.
ACGGGUGAGUAACACGUGGAUAACCUACCUAUAAGACUGGGAUAACUUCGGGAAACCGGAGCUAAUACCGGAUAAUAUAUUGAACCGCAUGGUUCAAUAGUGAAAGACGGUUUUGCUGUCACUUAUAGAUGGAUCCGCGCCGCAUUAGCUAGUUGGUAAGGUAACGGCUUACCAAGGCACGAUGCGUAGCCGAACUGAGAGGGUGAUCGGCCACACUGGAACUGAGACACGGUCCAG